AAAUUGAAGAGUUUGAUCAUGGCUCAGAUUGAACGCUGGCGGCAGGCCUAACACAUGCAAGUCGAGCGGUAGCACAGAGAGCUUGCUCUCGGGUGACGAGCGGCGGACGGGUGAGUAAUGUCUGGGAAACUGCCUGAUGGAGGGGGAUAACUACUGGAAACGGUAGCUAAUACCGCAUAAUGUCGCAAGACCAAAGUGGGGGACCUUCGGGCCUCAUGCCAUCAGAUGUGCCCAGAUGGGAUUAGCUAGUAGGUGGGGUAACGGCUCACCUAGGCGACGAUCCCUAGCUGGUCUGAGAGGAUGACCAGCCACACUGGAACUGAGACACGGUCCAGACUCCUACGGGAGGCAGCAGUGGGGAAUAUUGCACAAUGGGCGCAAGCCUGAUGCAGCCAUGCCGCGUGUGUGAAGAAGGCCUUCGGGUUGUAAAGCACUUUCAGCGGGGAGGAAGGCGGUGAGGUUAAUAACCUCAUCGAUUGACGUUACCCGCAGAAGAAGCACCGGCUAACUCCGUGCCAGCAGCCGCGGUAAUACGGAGGGUGCAAGCGUUAAUCGGAAUUACUGGGCGUAAAGCGCACGCAGGCGGUCUGUCAAGUCGGAUGUGAAAUCCCCGGGCUCAACCUGGGAACUGCAUUCGAAACUGGCAGGCUAGAGUCUUGUAGAGGGGGGUAGAAUUCCAGGUGUAGCGGUGAAAUGCGUAGAGAUCUGGAGGAAUACCGGUGGCGAAGGCGGCCCCCUGGACAAAGACUGACGCUCAGGUGCGAAAGCGUGGGGAGCAAACAGGAUUAGAUACCCUGGUAGUCCACGCCGUAAACGAUGUCGAUUUGGAGGUUGUGCCCUUGAGGCGUGGCUUCCGGAGCUAACGCGUUAAAUCGACCGCCUGGGGAGUACGGCCGCAAGGUUAAAACUCAAAUGAAUUGACGGGGGCCCGCACAAGCGGUGGAGCAUGUGGUUUAAUUCGAUGCAACGCGAAGAACCUUACCUGGUCUUGACAUCCACAGAACUU
RNAcentral lists this ribosomal RNA (1006 nucleotides) under Klebsiella pneumoniae. RNAcentral describes it as "bacterial SSU rRNA". It matches the Rfam family "Bacterial small subunit ribosomal RNA", at positions 1 to 998 of the family's 1533-position model. Lineage: Bacteria; Pseudomonadati; Pseudomonadota; Gammaproteobacteria; Enterobacterales; Enterobacteriaceae. RNAcentral also lists the same sequence under 1 other name. The record is from RNAcentral.